This 468-nucleotide ribosomal RNA is filed under the name uncultured bacterium. Its description in RNAcentral is "partial 16S ribosomal RNA". It matches the Rfam family "Bacterial small subunit ribosomal RNA", at positions 28 to 507 of the family's 1533-position model. The record is from RNAcentral.
GACGAACGCUGGCGGCGUGCUUAACACAUGCAAGUCGAACGGAAAGGCGCUGCGCUUGUGGGUUGCUCGAGUGGCGAACGGGUGAGUAACACGUGAGUAACAUGCCCUUGACUUUGGGAUAACAUCUGGAAACUGGGGCUAAUAUAGGAUAGGAGCUCCUGCUGCAUGGGGGGGGUUGGAAAGUUUCGGCGGUUGGGGCUGGACUCGAGGGUUAUCAGCUUGUUGGUGGGGUAGGGGCUUACCAAGGCUUUGACGGAUAGCCGGCAUGAGAGGGUGACCGGCCUCCUUGCGACUGCGAGACGCACCAGUCUCCUACGGUCGGCAGUAGUCGGGAGUCUUGCACAAUGGGCCGAAGCGUGAUGCAGCAACGCCGCGUGCGUGAUACCCUCUUUCUGGUUGUAAACCGCUUUGUACUGUGACGAAGCGUGCGUGACGGUAAUUAGUAAAGAAGCACCGGCUAACUACGUG